This is a long non-coding RNA of Diorhabda carinulata, 1044 nucleotides long. RefSeq lists it as uncharacterized. The transcript has 2 exons. The record is from RefSeq and is a predicted model, not a curated record. NCBI's taxonomy places the organism in Eukaryota, Metazoa, Arthropoda, Insecta, Coleoptera, Chrysomelidae.
UCAACACCGAGUAGAGGAUUUAGUGCGCAUGACUGUCCCUGUUGCUUAAGGAAUUCUUCGAUACCAUAGAGAUGGCAAAAAUGUGUAACUAUAGAUGAAAUUAUCUAUAAAAACUGUAUAUUUUUGAUAAUAAUCAUGUUUGAACCGCCCUCGGUAACUUCAUAUUACACAUAUGUGCUUCCAAUCUAAAUGAAUCACACUGUAUGUCUCAUCGGUAAUAAUAGAAAUAAUGAAAUAAAGUUUUUAAAAGUAAAUAAAUGCAUUUUUAUAUAUUUUGCAAUUGGCAGAUUCGAAAUAAAUAUAAUUAGCGAUAAACUGAGAUUCGAUAAGAAUAGCGGAAAUAAAUGUUAUCAAACCUCUCCAGCGGCAUAUUUAACACGGUUAUUGAACGUUGUUUAUUCUUCUUGUAAUGCAGUUGAUGUGAAACUAAUUUAAAAUAACAUAAAACCGACACGACUUUCAGUGUAAUUAAAUGUGCGGUCGAAUGAACGAACAUCGAAAAUUCCCAUCACGUUUAUAAAAAGAUAGCUAGUAGGUAAAUAAGGAAAAAAAUAUACGCAAAUCAAUUCUUGAAUAGUCAAGGUAAUUAUUUAAUGUUACCUUACUGAAAGAACGGGAAUUUACAAUGAGUGUAUCUCAAUUUCUAAUUCAGUAUAAACUUUGACGUCUCGAAACAAUGCAAUAGACUUUCUUUAUCGGAAGGCAAUAGUGUUAUAAUGGAAAAAAUACAGAAAGUUAUUCACUAUACUCCUCGCAGAAGGAAAUCGAAAAAUGACACUAACAAUUCGGAUAGAACGUACUGGAACUUAUUGAAUCGAUUUGGAAGACAUCAUCACAUAAGUAUUAAAAACAGAGCGUAAGAAUUUUUUAUUAAUAUGUUACAGAGAUUAAAUAACUUUGCAUUUAGUUAUAGUUUUUUCAAUAAAUUUUAAGAUUCAAUUUACACAACAAUAACUAAAACACUUGAAAUUAGCUACAGAGAUACGCGUAUGAUACCUACAUACUGGGUGCCACGAAGCAGUAUGUCAAUAAUAAGGAAAGAAA